AUAAGUUUAUUUACUACCACUGGGUCGAUGCCACUGCUGGUGGAGAUUUAUUUCCCCGAGAGUAUCACCAGCCCAGUAGUCAGCACUUUUUGUGCUGACAUGAAUUAUCAUUGAUAUGGUUAUAUUUAUAAAUUAACUGUUUACAAAAUUUAGAAUUUUUGAAAUACUAAGGCUUUUCUACCUCAGGCAUAGAUUACCUUAGCUGGAUUUGGCAAAACUUUUAGAAAUUUUGCUCCUCAAUGCUCUUCAACUUCGUACUUUAUUUGGCCCUUUUAACUUUUUUGGAUUCGAGCGUCACUGAUGAGUCUUUUGUAGACGAAACGCGCGUCUGGCGUAUAUACAAAAUUUAGUCCUGGUAUCUAUGAUGAGUUUAUUUAUUAC
Molecule: long non-coding RNA, 381 nt
Filed under: Mytilus galloprovincialis (Mediterranean mussel)
Lineage: Eukaryota; Metazoa; Mollusca; Bivalvia; Mytilida; Mytilidae
Source: RNAcentral